UUUACUUAAAUAUUUUUACAAAAAUCAUCCUUGCAAAAUGUGGUUUUACUGACAUAUUGCUAAACAUUUACAAAGAAUCAGUGCUGAUUUCAGCUCUGAAUUUGCAGCUCCGCAUUAAUGGUUUACAUUGCAUCAAUGGCUUUGAUCAAACUUAAUUAUUAAGUAAGUUAUUGACUUACUUAACACUUAAUUUUCUUCUGAAGAUUUGAACUAUAGUGCAGUGCUUCAAUCGUUAUUCACUUUAAUUAUAAGAACAGCAAGGAUAUUCUUCAAAUAUUUAGCUGUUUCAUUGAUAGAGGAAAGUCAUGUGGAUUUAAACUGAUAUUUUUGAAUUGCCAGUAUAUCCAUAUCUAGACCCAGUUUAAAUUUUUGAUAAUUUGUAUUUUUAUUCCUAAAGUGUGGGUGUGGGAGGAGUUUAUUACCAAAUAGCUCUUCUGGUUUUCUGGUUCUCUCUGAAACCAAAUAUGACGUCUAUUGAAAACUGAAAAGUAAACUACUGCAAGCGUUAUCAUGCCAUGAUUGGAAAACAGUACCUUUUAAUAAAUUAUAAAUUAUCUUGUCAAACAUGGUUGAAGUUAGUAAAAGAGUCUCGACGCCUCGUUUUCCUCCAAAACCAUAGUAUAGUUUUGAAAGGUAUUGAAAAACAAGUGGUACUUUUCUGUGUAUUUAUAGUGUAAAUGACAAUCAUUCAACUGAUUUUUGCACUUGCUUUCAGUUCGGAAUCUAUGGCUGCUCAUGGCCCAAUGUUUCCUCCUCAUGCAUGAUUGGCAUCUCAAGGAAAAAUGCCUAGCAACUAGAAAAGUUCAGCCCUGUUAAUGCUUUGAGGGAAGCAUUGUUUUGCCAUUAAAAAUGUCUGCUUAAAAAUG
Molecule: long non-coding RNA, 866 nt
Organism: Carassius carassius (crucian carp)
Lineage: Eukaryota; Metazoa; Chordata; Actinopteri; Cypriniformes; Cyprinidae
Exons: 2
Source: RefSeq, a predicted model, not a curated record